RNAcentral lists this long non-coding RNA (5884 nucleotides) under Sus scrofa (pig). RNAcentral's name for it is "lncRNA (ENSSSCG00000055022.1)". The record is from RNAcentral. Lineage: Eukaryota; Metazoa; Chordata; Mammalia; Artiodactyla; Suidae.
AGACAGGAGACAGGGCCUCUGGCCUUGCUGGGGAGUUGGAACCAAGACACUCCUCACACAGACACAUAAAACUGGGACUCUCUAAAAGCUAUACUCACUCCCAGAUAAAAUUAGAAAAGUUCACACAGGAAGACAGUCCCAGAGAAUUCUUAACCAAGGUCUGGGAUUCAGAGGCUAUGGAGUUUACAUACUCUCCUCAUAUUUGGGGAACUCAAAAAAUUGACACUGAACUGAUGAUAUCCCUAGGUUGCCUGGCAGAAGCAAAUGAAAUAUCUCUGUACAGGACUCACCCACAGGCCAAGCCUCCUGAGGCUUCCGCAGAUGAAAUCCGCGGGGGCCACAGACGUCAACCAUCCACACCCUGGCUUAUAUUUCCCCUCACUCUUUCCAGCUACAAGAUACCCCUCUGUGUGACACCAACUGCUCCUGUCAUAGAGCAGAAUUAGGCCCUAAGAACUGUAUGCCAUUCCCCUAUUCCUUCCCUCCCCUAGACACAACCACUAAAUCCAGGCUAAUUUCCAUGCAUGGUUUUAAACUGUACUGAGCGAUUCCAGAAAUAGCAUACACAUUUGUUUGCAAUCUCAAGCCUAUGGAAAACGAAAAUGAUGCUCAGUACAAAGUCUGUUUUUGCUGGGAACUCAUCUUAGAAGUGCACAUUCCACAGUCUUGGCAGAGGCUGAGUGUUCUCCAUGACUCUCUUGUGAAGGUGAUGAAUUGUCCUAGCAUCAGGAUCAUCAGGUAGCUGUCAGCAUCUUAAGGGCAGGGCUCAUGUCUGAUUCAAUCCCCUCGUAUUAUGAGCACUAAGAAAAGAGCCUGGCACACUGUCAGUGCUCCAUCAAAAGGCCAACUGGAGGAUGCAUUACCUGGGCAACACGGCAGGGUCUGUCCAGAGGCAAUGGAGUGACACCUGUUCUCUCAGCCCAGUAUAACCUACAAAUCCCCAACUCUGCAAGUCCAUGUUCAAGGCAGACAGAUAGGAAAAGGAGAAAGGAGAGGCCUAAGAUGGGAGAGGCUCUAAACCCUCCACCCAUAUCCACCAGGGCUGGUAGUCCAAGUGGGGACCCUGGAAUGGGCACUGAUGGCAGUGCUCCUUCUGGUGGCUCACACCCUGCUACCCCUCGGCUUAUGUUUUCUCCUCACGCUUGUCAGUUACAAGUGACCCCUGCUGGAGGAUCCCAACUGCUCUUCUCAGGCAGCAUUUUUGCCCACCCUGAUCUACUGUGGUUUCCAUGAAGGUUUUUGCCAUGACUGAGCUGAUGAUGCUAUGUGCUUGGAAAGCAGAGCCCAGAGCACAGGGUCUCUGGAAGAUGAAGGCCUCUAGGAACUGAAAUGCAGUUAGGCAGUAUGGCCUUGGGUACAAGGCCUCUUCCUACUCUAAAUGCUAAUAGCAAAGUGGCUGUCCUGGCUGCUGCCCCAACAUGGGGGAGGCACCACCAACUCCAUCUCUUUUGCUAUCAUCAUAGCUUUUCUACUAAUGGGUCUCUCUAAGGUGAUUCUUCUGCCGUUGGACUAGGCCCCUUGACCCCGAACCACACUCUAUGUGUGGCUUUUCAAAACAAUGUUUACUGAUGUGGAGGCCAGAGAGAGAAGGGAGGAAUGUAGGAGGGGAGAAGGGGUGUUCUGAGUUUCAAAAUAGAUAAGCAUUAGCUCUAACCUGGAAGGAGCUCUUCUGAAACACAAAUUUGAUCAUAUAAGUCCCUCCAUCACUCUGAAACCCUUAGACUCACUUCUAGGGAAAAAGCCACAUUUCCCCUCUCACUUUCUCCCUUCUACAGCCACUGGCUCACAGGCCCCUGGUUCCAGGGCUCCCCACCCCAUCUCCUGCUUGUCAGUUCAUCUUGUUCACCAUCCCUAAGAGUUGGGCUCCUUCCUGGCUCCAUCCAUGUCCUGGCCUCCUGGCCUUUCUAGCACACUGCCCUCCCCUCAGCCCUCCCCUAAUCAGGCAGUCUCCCUUGUGUGUGCAGCAAACCCUUCUCAUCUGUCCCAUUUGUCAGCCAGGAAGUUGUGCUUCCUUGUGAAAACUUCUAAAAUUGGUUCAGACAGACAGAGGUAAUUUUCUGUCACCACAAUCAGCAUCCCCUUUUGAUGGCCCUUGUCCAUUGGGGUCUCAAAAGUGACUUUAAAAAAAAGAAAAGACACAAACUAAUAAGGCUUGUGAGCUCUUGGGAGACACCCACCCACCCACCCACUAGGGCAUCAAAGCAGACAGACCUGUGUCAGAGGGGUGCCUUUGACCAAAACACAUGCAGCUCACAGGACCCUCUUUCCUCAGCCAAUCAAUUCAAAGCAUUGCUCUGUUUCUGUCUUCUUUCAAUUACCAUAGUCCCUCCACUUCAAAGGAUGCUGACAAGGAGGGGCUCUCUCUGCAGAGAUGGCCUAAACACUUGCCCACUGGCUCACAGGCCCCCAGUUCCAGGGCUGCCCACCCCAUCUCCUGCUUGUCAGCUCAUCUUGUGACAGAACUUUUGCCCUGAAGCACUCAGGGAUCCUGACUUCUGAGCCACCACUGCCCUGGGGUCCUUGUCCCAAGUCCAGCAUAAGCAGGACAGCAGGGAAAUCCCGGAAUUAGAAGGAUCCUCCAUGAUCAGCAGAGGAUAGGGGAAAAGCCUUCUCAACCCAGGGAGUGGUGGCCACACACCAGGACCCUGUCACAUGGAGAAGGCACAGGGCAGGGUGUUGCCUCAACAGAGCUCUACCACAGUGCCCAGGCAUCCAUGCAUAGCCACGUGGCACACCCGUCUCCCACAGGACUGUGAGCUCCUCAGCACAGGGACCAUGUCUUAUUCACCUUUGUUCCCCUGUGCCCAGCACAUGCAGGUGUUCAAUGAAUAAGAGCAACGUUCUGGCACGUGGAAGGGCCAGUUAGGAACCAGGCACGGCAGGACAGGAGAAGGGAGCAUCCUCUAAUCCAAGCCUCCACUGUCAACCAGGACUCAGCUGGGUCUCUGGACUGAAGAGGCAAAGGGGGUUAGCCGAUUAAUAACCACCCGGUGCACCCAGCCCAGCACGAAGACAGCUCGCUAAGAGACUCAGCAGAGAAUGGGGCUUUUGAGCGCCACGCCAGAGACUGGCCUCACUUCCCGUCCUCUUACUAGAGGCUAUGUCCAUAGGUCAAGGCCUCUUUCAAAUGCACCUUUGGAUGGGAAGUCCACUUGAGCUUCUCUGACCACCACUCUCUACCUCUCAGAAGGAGCUUGCCUUUGUCUGACCUCCUGGAGCCCUACACUCCAGAUGAAACCACUCAGGUCUGAGGACAGGACAGAUGUCAGGAAACAAAACAAAAGCAGUAACAAGUAACCAGGGAAUCAGUCUGGUCACAGGACUGCUUGUUGCUCUUUGUAUGCAUGCUCUCUUGAAGGAUUCCCUGGAAACAUAAUCAGCUCCCACUGAGCCAUGAUUGUCUCUGGGGAAGGGGCUAGGAUGGGGCGCUAAGUCCCAAGUGAGGGAAGCCCAACUGGAUGUUCUUCAGUAUUUGGGUUUUAACCAUAUGCAUGCGAAGACUCAAAAACUGAGUAUUAAUAACAGAAAUUUGCUUAUUCCAAAAUGCAGCAAUUUUUCCAGGCCGUAGUCACAGACCUAGUCAUAAAUAAGUGAAGUUUCAACAAUACCAAAACAUGAUAAAGGACGUUAGAAGUCUAAAAGUCUCUCCUAAAGCAACAAACGAGACCCAGACUAUAAUGAGCAAUGAUUUUGAAAGUAAAACCACAAUGUUUAAAUGGGUUGAAAGCAGAAUUUCUCAGAGAAAAAGUGGUUUUUAAUAAUUACGUAGCAAGAAAUUCUAAGAGAAAAUUAAAAAAGAAAAAUGGCCAGGAAACUAUAUAGGGAGGGAGGAAAAAUUUGCCAGCCACCCUGCAUUCACCAGAAGUUUUAUUUCUAAAAUUCAUCUCAGAAGUGUCAUCAUUAGAAAUACUUAAUUUAUUCUUGUCUUGCCAGGAGCUUUCUAACUGAUUCCUUUUUCUGACCCAGUGUCACUCUCCUCCAACCCAUUGGGAAUUACCCCCAAAAUCUGAUCCUGCCAUGCUAAUUUAAAAGCUGCCUUCGUUUUCCAAAUGGUAGCCUGUGGAAUGCACUUGUGAAUCUCAUCCUGUGUCUCCUCUUCUCUCACCUUCUCCUGGGCCCUUGAUUCCAGCUCUCUAAACAAAAUUCUUCAAAGCUCCCAGCUUCUCCAACCAACAGAUCUGCAGAACAGUUGUUCCACUAGCACAUCCCACUCUGUGCUUGGCCUGUUUGAUCAUCUUUAAGUUUGAGCUCACGUGUUACUUUGUGAAGCUUUGCUAGACUCUCUCUGGAAGUUUCUCUCUCACAGGGCUCUAGUGUAGCCAUUUUUACAAGUUCUGUAAUGCCUGCCUCACCAGGGGCCUUUGCCUUGUUCAUCUUUGUAUCCUAGCUCCUCCCACUCCCAGCACAGAGCCUGCUGCCUGGACUCCCCUCAGUGAAGGUUCAUUGAGUGCCUCAAGUGGUAUUUUUAUAGAAAGCAAAAGAGAGCUAAUCGCCCCUCUGCCCCCAAGACGCUCUACCUGUCGUAGAGUCUCUUCCAUCCAUGGAUCUCAGUUUCACAGACAUUGCUAUUCACAGUGGUACCCAACAACACCUUUGCUGAUUGAUGUAUGUGCCACUCACUCUUUAGGGUCCAGGCCACUGCCAUGGAUAUCCAUGAAAGACGACCCCUUGCCCUUACAAUUCUCCUCCUCCUUGAUGGAUCUUGCCCAGAUAGGAUCUCAGCUCCUUUUACACAAAUUCAGUGGCUCUGUAUCCUGCCCCAGGACUUAGAUCUGGACCAAGGACCCAGUUAGUUCCUGAUGCAUGUCUCAGACCUAGAGGAAAAAAGCUGAUGCAGCCAACUAUGCAUCUGGUUGUUCUCUUACAUUUCUCCCAAUCUCCUGAUUGGACAACCUAAACUGAAGUUUAUCUGAAGCUACUCUUCCCCAGCGUCAAGAGAAAAAUGCCAUGGACUGGCUGAGUGUCCCCUAUGAUGCUGUGUGUGGUGACAGAUCCUCCCAGCAUCACCAGCCCCAGUUAGCUGUCAGGAUGUUAAAGGCAGGACCCUUGCCUCCUGAGCAUUCAAAAGAGAGCCUGGCACACUGUCAGCAUUCUAUUAAAGGGUCAGCUGAAGCAUGUGUUACACAGGCAACACAGCAGGGUCAACCAGAGGCAAUGGAGAAACACCCAUUCCCCUGGUCCAGUAUAAGCUUCAGUUCCCCAACUCUGCAAGUCCAUGUUCAAGGCAGGUGGGAGAAGAAGAGAGAGACCUGAGAUGGGGGAGGCUCUGAACCCUCCACCCACAGCCACCAGAGAAUGCUCAAUCUUUCAGAAGACUGAGUCCAAAAUUAGUUUUCUGGUAUAUAUUUUAAUGUGAGGAAAAAACUUUUACAGUCUCCAAAAGAGUUUGUUUUAAAGCACAAGCUUCUAGAAGGCAAAUCUUCCUUUCUGUACAACAAUAAGUGUAGCACUUUUUAUUUACAAAUAUUAUUUGCUAAAGAUAACACUUUACUGGACGGACAAACAUUCCAGGUUGGUUACUUUAGGAAGUAACUCCUAGAACAAGAACACUCCUGUGUGUCAGAGAACACUUUACUACCUCUAUGGACAGCCAUUGAUGUGUUGGCUUCCAAUGGAUAAUCCUGAAAAGGAACCCUUUUAAAUAGUGAGGAAAUUAGAUUGUCCUCUUGAGUCUGUAUAUCAUAUUUUAGUUUUAGAUCUAAGUUUGGUGGGGAAGCUCAAACUUAUUAACUGCCCUAUUCUUCCCAUCUGGUGUUUGAACUCCAUCUAAAUCCCUACAGGGAUAGAAAAUUCAAUACCUCUCAAGCAAUCCUGCCCCAUUUUCAAACAUUUCUCUUAGAAACCUUUUCUUUACAGCCAAUCCAAUUUUUUGUCCUUAGAAUAC